ACUCAAAGGAAUAGACGGGGCUCCGCACAAGCAGAGGAGGAUGUGGUUUAAUAUGACGCUACGCGUAGAACCUUACCGAGGCUUGACAUCCCUGGGACCCGCUGGAAACAGUGGGGUGCCUUCGGGAGCCAGGUGACAGGUGCUGCAUGGCCGUCGUCAGCUCGUGUCGUGAGAUGUUGGGUUAAGUCCCGCAACGAGCGCAACCCCUAUCGUAUGUUGUAUUUCUCAUGCGAGACCGCCCGGGCCAACCGGGAGGAAGGUGGGGAUGAUGUCAGGUCGGCAUGGCCCUUACGCCUCGGGCCACACACGUCCUACAAUGGUCAGUACAACGCGUUGCCAAGCCGCGAGGCGGAGCUAAUCGCAUCAAAACUGAUCUCAGUUCGGAUUGGAGGCUGCAACUCGCCUCCAUGAAGUCGGAUUUGCUAGUAAACGUGGGUCAGCACACCACGUUGAAUACGUUCCCGGAGCUUGUACACACCGCCCGU
This 485-nucleotide ribosomal RNA is filed under the name uncultured bacterium. Its description in RNAcentral is "partial 16S ribosomal RNA". It matches the Rfam family "Bacterial small subunit ribosomal RNA", at positions 899 to 1397 of the family's 1533-position model. The record is from RNAcentral.